CAGAGGGUAAUGCACAUUUGCUGCCUGUGUACUACACAUCAAUGCCAGGAGCUUUAGCAGGAAUAGAGGCCCACGGGCAAAAAGUUCCCACCAGCAUGAAGCAAUAAUUUAUUUUAACAAGGUGGAAAAAGUGCUGGCUCGCACUCAGAAAGAAGGGAGUGGCAUGGCACAUUCAGUCCGCAUGCCACAAGCCUCAGCCAAGAGUCUUUCAUGCCUGGUUAUAACUCUGUCUAAUGAAGGUCCUUUCUCCAUCACCAGAAGCUUUGCACAGCUCAGCCUACCCAGGAGCCACAGCCAAUGAGUGACAGUCACCUGCCUGUGGUUCAGAAAAGGUAGCACCAAGUCUGCGCUUGCAGGCAAACCAGUGGAGAAAAAGGAGCAGUCACUGCACGUCCAUCUUCUCCUGCUUGAGUGAUGCAACAAAAUCCUUGUACUCCUCAGGAUAGAAAUUCUUGUACACGCUGAUCUUCCUCUUGAUCUGUUUGGGAGUGUCCUGGUAGUAGUUCUUUUCAUCACGAGCCAUUUCCUUGUAGUUCUCCCCAUGGUUCUGUAUCAUGUACCGCACAUAGUCAAUGAGGUCUCUUGAGAGCGUAUUUGACUUCUUCUCAGGAAGACUGGCCUCGAAUUCCAUCUCGCUCAGGACGUAGGGCUUCCGCACCAGCAUCUUCUCCUGCUCCUGCCCGUCACUCUCUGUCUCCAUCCUCUGCAGCCGUCUCUUGGCGAUGGGGACGGCUUUGUUGGGGUCCCCGGCCAGGCCCAUCUCGGCCAGGUUCUGCGCCACCGACUUGGUCGCGUCCCACGCAUGGCGGAUGUGUGAGCACUCGAUGCGCGGCGCGGCCUUGCGCCUGGCGCUGCGGUACAGCCGCUUGCGGUUGAGGCCGUAAGCGAACUUCUGCCGCCGGUUCUUCCCCUUGGCCUUCGGCAUGGCUGCCCCACGCUGCCGCCGAGCCGCG
This 953-nucleotide long non-coding RNA is filed under the name Gallus gallus (chicken). The record is from RNAcentral. Lineage: Eukaryota; Metazoa; Chordata; Aves; Galliformes; Phasianidae.